This 1114-nucleotide long non-coding RNA is filed under the name Carica papaya (papaya). RNAcentral describes it as "long non-coding RNA (CPAP_LNC003303)". The record is from RNAcentral. Lineage: Eukaryota; Viridiplantae; Streptophyta; Magnoliopsida; Brassicales; Caricaceae.
AGAAUUUUCUCAACAGAGGUCGACGCCCAAUCCACCUUACACAUGUCUCUUGGUCAUAAGGUAUUUAUCUUCUUCUGUCAAUGUUAUCGCUGCUACCUCUUCCUCUUCUCUAUGCGGAUUCUGUUUUGAUUAGGUUUCAGACAGUUUCUUGAUCAAGAUCCCAGGUACGUGAAUCUUGAAGUUAUCAUUGAUAUUACGUUGUCGUUGAUUCGGUUAGUUUUGUUCCUCCCAGUUUCGUCGACUGGCGCUCGUCUUAAAUAUUUUUGAAUUUCCAACAAUAUUCGCAUGAGUUUUGUCUAUAGUAGUCAGGUGCCAAAUAUGUUUUCAGAUAUUUUCUUGAUCGAAGACAACAGGUUCGUGAAUCUUGGAUCUUUUUUUUGUUCGAAUUUAUCAGUCUAUUGUUUUCUUCUAUUCUAUCAUUGAUAUUGAACAUAUUAAAUUCGGUUAACUUCGUUCCUCCCAAUCUCGUCAACUGGCUCUCCAGUUGGUGCUCCUCUUAAAUAUAUUCUUUAAUCUCUCGCAACAUUCGCUUAAAUUUUGUCAACCGAAGCGGAAGCCCGCUAUGUUGUUAUCUUGCUAUCGCUUUUUCUUUCCUGCUGGUUGUUUUGAUUCCUGUCAUAUGUUUUCUUUAUCUAGACCGCAGGUACGUUAAUUUUUCUUUUUUUUUUUUACCCUUGUCCGGAGUUCUCAUUGUUUUGUUUUGUUUUUAUUAUUGAGACUCCAUGUUGAAUUGUUAGUGGAAUCCUGAUGUUCCACCUCCCAAAAUCCUCUUAAGUUAUCUUUAAUUUCUCACAAAAUUCGCUUGUACUCCCGAAGCUCUUUUCCUCUUUUUGGUUAUCUUUAAGGUCACAACUUCAAGUUUCUCCACAUCUUAAGAGCGGUAUCCGAUUUGGUUCCUAAUAACGAGAUGCAGUCCACUGUUUGUGUUGCAUCAAGAACCCCGCUCUUAGGAAUUGUUAUGACGCUUAAACCCAAGAUUCUCUGGGCUUUAUUCUGGUUCCGGUAGUAUACAAGAUUCCAUCGUUCUUUGGCCGGUUUUCAUACUUAGGGAUCUUCUUUCAUGUGAUUUAUGGUAUCAUAAGUAGAAAUCAGUUGACCGGAUGCUUGACUGUGC